UACGUAGGGUGCGAGCGUUGUCCGGAAUUACUGGGGCGUAAAGAGCUCGUAGGUGGUUUGUCGCGUUGUUCGUGAAAACCGGGGGCUUAACCCCUCGGCGUGCGGGCGAUACGGGCAGACUUGAGUACUGCAGGGGAGACUGGAAGUUCCUGGUGUAGCGGUGGAAUGCGCAGACUAUCAGGAGGAACACCGGUGGCGAAGGCGGGUCUCUGGGCAGUGAACUGACGCUGAGGAGCGAAAAGCGUGGGGGAGCAAACAGGG
This 261-nucleotide ribosomal RNA is filed under the name uncultured bacterium. RNAcentral describes it as "partial 16S ribosomal RNA". It matches the Rfam family "Bacterial small subunit ribosomal RNA", at positions 524 to 777 of the family's 1533-position model. The record is from RNAcentral.